UACGAAGGGGGCUAGCGUUGUUCGGAAUUACUGGGCGUAAAGCGCGCGCAGGCGGUCUUCCAAGUCAGUGGUGAAAGCCCGGAGCUCAACUCCGGAACUGCCAUUGAAACUGUAAGACUUGAGGAUGAGAGAGGUGAGUGGAAUUCCCAGUGUAGAGGUGAAAUUCGUAGAUAUUGGGAAGAACACCGGUGGCGAAGGCGGCUCACUGGCUCAUAUCCGACGCUCAGGCGCGACAGCGUGGGGAUCAAACAGG
RNAcentral lists this ribosomal RNA (253 nucleotides) under uncultured bacterium. Its description in RNAcentral is "partial 16S ribosomal RNA". It matches the Rfam family "Bacterial small subunit ribosomal RNA", at positions 524 to 776 of the family's 1533-position model. The record is from RNAcentral.